RNAcentral lists this ribosomal RNA (253 nucleotides) under uncultured bacterium. Its description in RNAcentral is "partial 16S ribosomal RNA". It matches the Rfam family "Bacterial small subunit ribosomal RNA", at positions 524 to 776 of the family's 1533-position model. The record is from RNAcentral.
UACAGAGGUCUCAAGCGUUGUUCGGAUUCAUUGGGCGUAAAGGGUGCGUAGGUGGCGAUGCAAGUCUGGUGUGAAAUCUUGGGGCUUAACCUCAAAAUUGCACCGGAUACUGCGUUGCUCGAGGACUGUAGAGGAGAGUGGAAUUCACGGUGUAGCAGUGAAAUGCGUAGAUAUCGUGAGGAAGACCAGUUGCGAAGGCGACUCUCUGGGCAGUUCCUGACACUGAGGCACGAAGGCCAGGGGAGCAAACGGG